RNAcentral lists this ribosomal RNA (454 nucleotides) under uncultured bacterium. RNAcentral's name for it is "partial 16S ribosomal RNA". It matches the Rfam family "Bacterial small subunit ribosomal RNA", at positions 28 to 507 of the family's 1533-position model. The record is from RNAcentral.
GAUGAACGCUGACAGAAUGCUUAACACAUGCAAGUCGACUUGAACUUCGGUUUGGGUGGCGGACGGGUGAGUAACGCGUAAAGAACUUGCCUCACAGAUAGGGACAACAUUUGGAAACGAAUGCUAAUACCUGAUAUUAUGAUUAUAUGGCAUCGUAUAAUUAUGAAAGCUAUAUGCGCUGUGAGAGAGCUUUGCGUCCCAUUAGCUAGUUGGAGAGGUAACGGCUCACCAAGGCGAUGAUGGGUAGCCGGCCUGAGAGGGUGAUCGGCCACAAGGGGACUGAGACACGGCCCUUACUCCUACGGGAGGCAGCAGUGGGGAAUAUUGGACAAUGGACCAAGAGUCUGAUCCAGCAAUUCUGUGUGCACGAUGAAGUUUUUCGGAAUGUAAAGUGCUUUCAGUUGGGAAGAAAAAAAUGACGGUACCAACAGAAGAAGUGACGGCUAAAUACGUG